UACGAAGGGGGCUAGCGUUGUUCGGAAUUACUGGGCGUAAAGGGCUCGUAGGUGGCCAACUAAGUCGGACGUGAAAUCCCUCGGCUUAACCGGGGAACUGCAUCCGAUACUGGAUGGCUUGAGUUCGGGAGAGGGAUGCGGAAUUCCGGGUGUAGCGGUGGAAUGCGUAGAGAUCCGGAAGAACACCAGUGGCGAAGGCGGCCCGCUGGGCAGUGGGCUGACGGCUGAGGCGCGGACAGCGUGG
This 244-nucleotide ribosomal RNA is filed under the name uncultured bacterium. Its description in RNAcentral is "partial 16S ribosomal RNA". It matches the Rfam family "Bacterial small subunit ribosomal RNA", at positions 524 to 764 of the family's 1533-position model. The record is from RNAcentral.